UACGUAUGGUGCAAGCGUUAUCCGGAUUUACUGGGUGUAAAGGGAGCGCAGGCGGCACGGCAAGCCUGAUGUGAAAGCCCGCGGUCCAACCGCGGGACUGCAUUGGGAACUACCGGGCUGGAGUGCCGGAGAGGUAGGCGGAAUUCCUAGUGUAGCGGUGAAAUGCGUAGAUAUUAGGAGGAACACCAGUGGCGAAGGCGGCCUACUGGACGGUGACUGACGCUGAGGCUCGAAAGCGUGGGGAGCAAACAGG
This 253-nucleotide ribosomal RNA is filed under the name uncultured bacterium. Its description in RNAcentral is "partial 16S ribosomal RNA". It matches the Rfam family "Bacterial small subunit ribosomal RNA", at positions 524 to 776 of the family's 1533-position model. The record is from RNAcentral.